This 207-nucleotide ribosomal RNA is filed under the name uncultured bacterium. Its description in RNAcentral is "partial 16S ribosomal RNA". It matches the Rfam family "Bacterial small subunit ribosomal RNA", at positions 568 to 774 of the family's 1533-position model. The record is from RNAcentral.
CGCGUAGGCGGCUUGGUCAGUCGGAUGUGAAAGCCCCGGGCUUAACCUGGGAAUUGCAUUCGAUACUGCUGGGCUAGAGUGUAGUAGAGGGAAGCGGAAUUCCAGGUGUAGCGGUGAAAUGCGUAGAUAUCUGGAGGAACAUCAGUGGCGAAGGCGGCUUCCUGGACUAACACUGACGCUGAGGUGCGAAAGCGUGGGGAGCAAACA